Molecule: ribosomal RNA, 467 nt
Filed under: Mucilaginibacter sp. RD319
Lineage: Bacteria; Pseudomonadati; Bacteroidota; Sphingobacteriia; Sphingobacteriales; Sphingobacteriaceae
Description: bacterial SSU rRNA
Rfam family: Bacterial small subunit ribosomal RNA
Source: RNAcentral
AGAGUUUGAUCCUGGCUCAGGAUGAACGCUAGCGGCAGGCCUAAUACAUGCAAGUCGGACGGGAUUGAGGAGCUUGCUCUUCAUGAGAGUGGCGCACGGGUGCGUAACACGUAUGUAACCUACCUUGUUCAGGGGGAUAGCCUCUCGAAAGAGAGAUUAAGACCGCAUAACAUUAUGAUGUGGCAUCGCAUUAUAAUCAAAUAUUUAUAGGAACAAGAUGGGCAUGCGGAACAUUAGCUAGUUGGUAAGGUAAUGGCUUACCAAGGCUACGAUGUUUAGGGGAUCUGAGAGGAUGACCCCCCACACUGGUACUGAGACACGGACCAGACUCCUACGGGAGGCAGCAGUAAGGAAUAUUGGUCAAUGGACGCAAGUCUGAACCAGCCAUGCCGCGUGCAGGAAGACGGCCCUAUGGGUUGUAAACUGCUUUUAUACGGGAAUAAAUCUCUUUACGUGUAGAGAGUGAA